CCCGGGGGGCAGCAGUGGGGGAUAUUGCACAAUGGGGGGAACCCUGAUGCAGCGACGCCGCGUGGGUGAAGGAGCGUUUCGGCGCGUAAAGCCCUAUCGGCAGGGAAGAAGAUGACGGUACCUGACCAAGAAGCCCCGGCUAACUACGUGCCAGCAGCCGCGGUAAUACGUAGGGGGCAAGCGUUAUCCGGAUUUACUGGGUGUAAAGGGCGCGUAGGCGGGAAUAUAAGUCAGAUGUGAAAGGUGGGGGCUCAACCCCUAGAGUGCAACUGAUACUGGAUAACUUGAGUGUGAGAGAGGGAAGG
Molecule: ribosomal RNA, 305 nt
Filed under: uncultured bacterium
Lineage: Bacteria
Description: partial 16S ribosomal RNA
Rfam family: Bacterial small subunit ribosomal RNA
Source: RNAcentral